This is a long non-coding RNA of Frankliniella occidentalis (western flower thrips), 791 nucleotides long. RefSeq lists it as uncharacterized. The record is from RefSeq and is a predicted model, not a curated record. NCBI's taxonomy places the organism in Eukaryota, Metazoa, Arthropoda, Insecta, Thysanoptera, Thripidae. The transcript is spliced from 3 exons.
GAUCGGCUAACCGAUAUGAAGGCUCAUUCACGUGGUUGACGCCAGACUGCAAGCAAGUUAGGGGUUCUUGCGCUGCAAAGGCGUUCUUCUUAGGAGUAGAAAUAAAACAACGGACCUCUGAAGGGAGCCGUCACUCUGUGUGGUGUUCUGUGCCGCUAAAAUAGCAACAUCGCUAGAAAAAAUCGGUGCAAUGGAGGCUAAGCAGCGAAAUUUCUCGGCCUUUCAGCCAACGGGCACGGCAACAACGCCGUAUGAAAAGCACAUCCAGAGCUCACCACAACAACUUCCUCCCUCAAAGAGGGAACUUGUAUGGCACAAUAUCAUACUUCUAACAUUAUUGCAUGUGUACACCACGUGGCACUUCGCAUUUACAAGAUUUAGCCUACUAAUGUGGACCUUCCAACUUUGCUACGGUUACCUCGGGGGAAUUGGAACAACUGCUGGCGUCCAUCGCCUCUGGACUCAUCGAGCAUACAAAGCCAAAUUGCCAUUACGGGUUUUUUUUGCCAUCUGCUUUUCAGCGUCAGCCCAGGUCUGUGCACAAAACCAGCAACUUACUUAACCCCCUUUUCAGCAGAUAAUACGGUAAUUGUAUACAUAUUUAAGAAAAGGGCCCUAUACUUUUAUGGCAAGCAAAAGUUACUUACUUUAUUCGUUGCAAGCCCUCGAUUAUACUCAACUUGAGCACAAAAUUAUCCAUAGUUUCUCGACAAAAGUAUUACACAUAAUCUGUGAACACAGAUGAACGAAACAGGUGUACAAAAUUAUGCGCUAUGAUGGUCAAGACGGCG